UUAGGGCUCUUGUCAUUCAUCCUCAGGAAAUUCCUGCAAGCCUGUUUGGCUCAUCUCAAGCUUUGCUAAUUGAUCAGAAACUAAUGAUCUAAGAAGGGGUUCCUAAACACCACAAGAAUGGGGUGGAUCUUCUACAUUUGCCUGGAGUAGAUGGCAAUAGAACAAAGCAGGGCAGCUUGAGCAGUCACUGCCAGUGCUGUACUCAUCCAACGGAUGGAGAAAUGCACCCAGGUGUCCUAUGAGUCUCAUUACCCCUUGUCUCUUCUCGGUCUGCUGUCCUGAGCACACCUCCCCUGGUGCACUGUUGUCAGGAACUCCAGUGAUCAGCAUUAUUUAGCAUCAGAUAGAUCAUCAGAUAUGGGAUAAAUGGAUAAACAGGACCAAAAAGAAGAUUAUUACUUGCAAAAUAAAAUAAUAAAAU
Molecule: long non-coding RNA, 421 nt
Organism: Lepidothrix coronata (blue-crowned manakin)
Lineage: Eukaryota; Metazoa; Chordata; Aves; Passeriformes; Pipridae
Exons: 3
Source: RefSeq, a predicted model, not a curated record